UCCAGACUCCUACGGGAGGCAGCAGUGGGGGAUAUUGGACAAUGGGGGGAACCCUGAUCCAGCGACGCCGCGUGAGUGAAGAAGUAUUUCGGUAUGUAAAGCUCUGUCAGCAGGGAAGAAAGAAAUGACGGUACCUGACCAAGAAGCCCCGGCUAACUACGUGCCAGCAGCCGCGGUAAUACGUAGGGGGCAAGCGUUAUCCGGAUUUACUGGGUGUAAAGGGAGCGUAGACGGCUGUGCAAGUCUGGAGUGAAAGGCAUGGGCUCAACCUGUGGACUGCUUUGGAAACUGUGCGGCUUGAGUGUCGGAGAGGCAAGUGGAAUUCCUAGUGUAGCGGUGAAAUGCGUAGAUAUUAGGAGGAACACCAGUGGCGAAGGCGGCUUACUGGACUGUAACUGACGUUGAGGCUCGAAAGCGUGGGGAGCAAACAGGAUUAGAUACCCCAGUAC
This 449-nucleotide ribosomal RNA is filed under the name uncultured bacterium. RNAcentral's name for it is "bacterial SSU rRNA". It matches the Rfam family "Bacterial small subunit ribosomal RNA", at positions 330 to 793 of the family's 1533-position model. The record is from RNAcentral.